Molecule: ribosomal RNA, 478 nt
Filed under: uncultured bacterium
Lineage: Bacteria
Description: partial 16S ribosomal RNA
Rfam family: Bacterial small subunit ribosomal RNA
Source: RNAcentral
GACGAACGCUGGCGGCGUGCUUAACACAUGCAAGUCGAACGGUAAGGCCCUUCGGGGUACACGAGUGGCGAACGGGUGAGUAACACGUGGGUGAUCUGCCCUGCACUUCGGGAUAAGCCUGGGAAACUGGGUCUAAUACCGGAUAGGACCACUGCCUGCAUGGGUGGUGGUGGAAAGCUUUUGCGGUGUGGGAUGGGCCCGCGGCCUAUCAGCUUGUUGGUGGGGUGAUGGCCUACCAAGGCGACGACGGGUAGCCGGCCUGGGAGGGUGACCGGCCACACUGGGGCUGGGAUACGGCCCAGACUCCUACGGGAGGCAGAAGUGGGGAAUAUUGCACAAUGGGCGCAAGCCUGAUGCAGCGACGCCGCGUGAGGGAUGACGGCCUUCGGGUUGUAAACCUCUUUCAGCAUCGACGAAGCGCAAGUGACGGUAGGUGCAGAAGAAGGACCGGCCAACUACGUGCCAGCCGCCGCCGUAA